Molecule: small nuclear RNA, 166 nt
Organism: Apodemus sylvaticus (European woodmouse)
Lineage: Eukaryota; Metazoa; Chordata; Mammalia; Rodentia; Muridae
Product: U1 spliceosomal RNA
Exons: 1
Source: RefSeq, a predicted model, not a curated record
AUACAUACAUGACAGAUGAGACUCCAUGUUGCAGAAGGUGGUUUUCUCAGGGUGAGGCUCACCCCUUGCACUCCUGAUGUGUAGACCCCAUGCUUUCUUCAAAAGGAAGAAACUCAGCUGCCUGAUUUAUGGUAGUGGAGGACUGUGAUGGUUACACUUUUUCCUA